UCGCCCUUAGAGUUUGAUCCUGGCUCAAGACGAACGCUGGCGGCGCGCCUAACACAUGCAAGUCGAACGAGCGAGAGAGAGCUUGCUUUCUCGAGCGAGUGGCGAACGGGUGAGUAACGCGUGAGGAACCUGCCUCAAAGAGGGGGACAACAGUUGGAAACGACUGCUAAUACCGCAUAAGCCCACGGGGUCGGCAUCGACCAGAGGGAAAAGGAGCAAUCCGCUUUGAGAUGGCCUCGCGUCCGAUUAGCUAGUUGGUGAGGUAACGGCCCACCAAGGCGACGAUCGGUAGCCGGACUGAGAGGUUGAACGGCCACAUUGGGACUGAGACACGGCCCAGACUCCUACGGGAGGCAGCAGUGGGGAAUAUUGCACAAUGGGGGAAACCCUGAUGCAGCGACGCCGCGUGGAGGAAGAAGGUCUUCGGAUUGUAAACUCCUGUUGUUGGGGAAGAUAAUGACGGUACCCAACAAGGAAGUGACGGCUAACUACGUGCCAGCAGCCGCGGUAAAACGUAGGUCACAAGCGUUGUCCGGAAUUACUGGGUGUAAAGGGAGCGCAGGCGGGAAGACAAGUUGGAAGUGAAAUCUAUGGGCUCAACCCAUAAACUGCUUUCAAAACUGUUUUUCUUGAGUAGUGCAGAGGUAGGCGGAAUUCCCGGUGUAGCGGUGGAAUGCGUAGAUAUCGGGAGGAACACCAGUGGCGAAGGCGGCCUACUGGGCACCAACUGACGCUGAGGCUCGAAAGUGUGGGUAGCAAACAGGAUUAGAUACCCCGGUAGUCCACACCGUAAACGAUGAUUACUAGGUGUUGGAGGAUUGACCCCUUCAGUGCCGCAGUUAACACAAUAAGUAAUCCACCUGGGGAGUACGACCGCAAGGUUGAAACUCAAAGGAAUUGACGGGGGCCCGCACAAGCAGUGGAGUAUGUGGUUUAAUUCGACGCAACGCGAAGAACCUUACCAAGUCUUGACAUCCCUUGACAGGCAUAGAAAUAUGUAUUCUCUUCGGAACACCGGUGACAGGUGGUGCAUGGUUGUCGUCAGUUCGUGUCGUGAGAUGUUGGGUUAAGUCCCGCAACGAGCGCAACCCUUAUCCCCAGUAGCCAGCAUUUUGGAUGGGCACUCUGAGGAGACUGCCAGGGAUAACCUGGAGGAAGGUGGGGAUGACGUCAAAUCAUCAUGCCCCUUAUGACUUGGGCUACACACGUGCUACAAUGGCGUAAACAAAGGGAAGCGAGACCGUGAGGUGGAGCAAAUCCCAAAAAUAACGUCUCAGUUCGGACUGUAGUCUGCAACCCGACUACACGAAGCUGGAAUCGCUAGUAAUCGCAGAUCAGAAUGCUGCGGUGAAUACGUUCCCGGGUCUUGCACA
This 1373-nucleotide ribosomal RNA is filed under the name uncultured bacterium. RNAcentral's name for it is "bacterial SSU rRNA". It matches the Rfam family "Bacterial small subunit ribosomal RNA". The record is from RNAcentral.